AUAAUUCCUCUGUCAGGACAGAGACAAGAAAACAAAACAGGGUUAUGCAGAUAAACGAAGGAAACAUCUUGAGUUUACUACAACCAACCGCAAAUGAACAUUACUGGUCACAUCGAUCUCGGUAGAGUUCUGAGAGGCCGUCGCCGCGAGGUCAUGGGGAAGACGAGGUGCGAGGAGUGGAAGCUUCGAAGAUUACCACGGCGGAUUCGUUCGGUGCUAUUGUUUUGGGUGGUACCUUUGAUCGAUUGCACGAUGGGCAUCAAUCACGAUCUCUUCAUCCGAUCUGAAAUCAAUCCACCGUGUCUCACCUGCCAUCAUUGCGUGAAGACAGAGUCGUUGCCGUGACGUUCGAUAUUCACUUCACCACUUCUGGUCUAUCAAGGCGUGAUGGUUUAGGAGUGCAUUUCAAUCAACUUAAUUAUGCUUCUGCUCCUUACCUCUGUUGCCAGAACUGUAAAGAAAUGCUUCUGCGAGAGAUCGAGUCUUCUGCGUUUUCAGGGGCAAGCAACAACAGAUCAGCUAUAGUCCUCCUGAUCCAGUCAAGCUUUUAUCCACUUCCCUCUACAAACGGUUUCUCAGCUCUCUUAAUUUAGAUGGAUAGGAGAAGGUAGAGCCAUAAAGGAAACGAAUGGAUCAAGCAUAGGAGUUAAGGCACCCGUAGUAGAAGGAAUUGUUUUGUCUGAGUUUCUUGAUCUGGAAGUACAAUGGUCUGCAAGAGAAGAAACACUGAUGGACUAUCAGUGCAUAAUAAAACACUCUGAAUCUAGGAUGAAUCACUGUCUGGAUGACAUGAGAAUCUUAGUUUAUUUUCGAGACGAGAUGUGCAGGAUAGUGUUUCUUUAAUCUAUAAACAUUAAUCUAUGAAUGAGAUGAUAUCAUAUAUAUAAUCAAUGGUUUAGUUUGUUUGCUUUGAGUUUUGUUUUUACAUCUCCUAAUACUAGACUCAAACAAGCUUUGUUGGUAGGGUGGUGAGGACCAUCCAUAUGAUGAGGGGCUGCUAAUCUCUCUCUGGACUCAAACCCAAUUGUAAACAACAUUGGUCCAGAUAACACCAACAGGUGUGAUGCUGCUGCAACCAUCGAAGGCUGUUCAGAAGUGUCCAAACCGAUUCCUCCGCAAACUGUUCCGCUGGUCAACACGAAGAAACUAUAAAGGAUCUUGAUCACUCCAACUAUGGAGACAAGGUCCAGAUCUUAAGAAACUAUAAAAGAUCCUGAUCACUCCAACUAUGGAGACAAUGAAGCUGGCCAAAAGUUUCCCAAUUCCAUUUCCAGUUCCCAAGUAUUUACAAUUUACUGAAUAAGUCAUUGUCUUUCAACUUCUUAAUUAAUCAGUUCUGGUUUCGUUUGUUCAAGUACAAUUGGUACACAUGGUAAUUUUAGUAUUUAUGUUGAUAUAAAACUUUUUUGUUAACCAGAACAGAUGUAGUUUGUUUAGUAUUUGGUUAACAAUACGAACCCAAAAAUAUGGUUAACAAAUACUAAAAAGCAUAUUUGUGGCAGUUAAAAUUAUAUAGCUACGAUAAAAAAACAAUAUAUUACAAUAAACAGAUGUAGUUUUUUUAUAUAUUAUAAUUAAGCAAGAGAUGUAAUAAUGGAGAUUAAAGUAUAUAGCUGAAAAGUUACAGCAAUACACACUAAUUCGAUAUGAAAUAAAAAAGAGCAUAUAAAAUAAAUUAAUUACUCUCUUAAUAAAAAAAUACUGUUUUCUUCAAAGAAUCAUAACUAUGCAUGGUAUUAUACAAAUUAGUCAACACCUUUGAUUCUCAAUAUUAUAGAGCAUAUAUAAGUAAAUAAUUCAUAAAAAUAAUUGCUCAAACAUAAUAUAUAACCAAUUUAAAACAAAGUCAACUCAAAUAUUUGAGGAAGCUUAUAUCCAAAGCGUAGCGGAAAGUUUAAAUUUAUAUAUUAACAACAAAUAUAUAAUAUUUAAAGAGCAUAUACAAGUAAAUAAUUCAUCAAAAUAAUUGUUCAAACAUAAUAUAUAACCAAUCUACUAAAACAAAAUCAAAUCAAAUAUUUAAGGAAGCUUACAUCCUGAGCGUAGCGAAAAAUUUAAAUUUAUAUAUUAACUCAAAUAUAGAAGUAAUUGAGUAUACAUUCAGAUCAAUUACUUCUAUAAAUUUUAAAAGAUAUAUACAUAUAUAUAUAUAUAUAUAUAUUUGAAAAGGACAAAAUGAUUUGUACUUUCUGAUCAAAAACCAAGCUUACAUCUUCUAUAAUUCAUUUGUGAUAUGAUUGAUCUGAGAACAAAAUGAUGUGUACUACCUUACUGCUUCUAAUUUGUUCCAAGUCAUGAAGGGAACAUCUGCACUUUUUUGUGAAAUUGCAGGUUUGCUUUGCUCUCCGUGUUAAGACCCAAGAUCAAUUCAGAUGUGUAAUUCAGAGAGUUUUAUAUGGUUCUCUGCGGCAAGAUAAAGUACAAGAAAAUUAUUUUGUCAGAGAUAUAUACAUAUUUUACAAUAUGGAAAUUGUGAAUGAUGUAGCUGAGAUGAUAUAACAGUAUUAUAUUUUUUUUUAAACACAAAUUUUAUUCAUAAAUGGAAACAUCAUAGUAAAUUAACCAAAUGUGCAUUCUAAAUACUUAAAGAGGUAAGUGCAUAAAUUAAAUGUUAUAAAGUAUACAGAGGUGAUAGUAUAGAAAAGUUAAUAGAGAAUUUUAUAAUUUAUUUGGCUCUGCACACAUAAUUAUCUUUAACAGGUAACUUUUAAUAAAUCAAAUUACAAAAGUUCUCAUCAUGUUUUAUUUACAACAAAAUAAUGAAAAGUUAAUAAGACAACCUAUACUAAUAUGAAAAUAUUUUUCGGACCAAUAUAUUUCUUUUGUUUUAAGAUGAAAAUAACAAUAAUUCCACAAAAAAUACGUCAACAGAAAAACAAAUUCAAUUAAAAUAUACAUCGAACUCAAAACAUACAGCACACCAUAUUAUUUAACUACUCUUAAAAGAAAAAUUUAAAGCAUAUAGUUUUUAGCCACAAUUGAAAAAUAUCUCAAACAAAAAAUACCAUUCUAAAAAUAACUAAUAACCUAAUUGUAAAGAGUAUGAUUUUUUUAAAAUAAUUCAAUAGCAUAAAAAUAAUUCUGAAAAUAAGAAUGUAAUUUACAAUAAAAAAUC
This is a long non-coding RNA of Brassica rapa (field mustard), 3115 nucleotides long. RefSeq lists it as uncharacterized. Lineage: Eukaryota; Viridiplantae; Streptophyta; Magnoliopsida; Brassicales; Brassicaceae. The record is from RefSeq and is a predicted model, not a curated record.